Molecule: non-coding RNA, 94 nt
Filed under: Blastococcus sp.
Lineage: Bacteria; Bacillati; Actinomycetota; Actinomycetes; Geodermatophilales; Geodermatophilaceae
Also listed under: 1 other name
Description: TPP sequence
Rfam family: TPP riboswitch aptamer (THI element)
About the family: Vitamin B(1) in its active form thiamin pyrophosphate (TPP) is an essential coenzyme that is synthesised by coupling of pyrimidine and thiazole moieties in bacteria. The previously detected thiamin-regulatory element, thi box was extended, resulting in a new, highly conserved RNA secondary structure, the THI element, which is widely distributed in eubacteria and also occurs in some archaea. Analysis of operon structures identified a large number of new candidate thiamin-regulated genes, mostly transporters, in various prokaryotic organisms.
Source: RNAcentral
GUACGUGGCACGGGGUGUCCCGCCCGGGACUGAGAACACACCCGUCGAACCUGCUCCAGUUCGUACUGGCGAAGGGAUGUCACCGGCAUGGAAU